This 425-nucleotide unclassified non-coding RNA is filed under the name Hevea brasiliensis (rubber tree). The record is from RNAcentral. Lineage: Eukaryota; Viridiplantae; Streptophyta; Magnoliopsida; Malpighiales; Euphorbiaceae.
UGCGUAUGGUCACUAUGUACGAAAACGAAGUGCACAAGAAAGAAUUACAAAAAAACAAAAAGGAAGAAGAAGAAUUCAAGGCCUCUUUGUUCUUUUUAAUAUUCAAUGGAACUUAGAAGUGGAAAAAUUAUUAAAAAGCUAAAAUUACUCGACAUAUCGAUACACAUAUAACAAGAGCUUGCUUACCAUGGAUAUCAUGAUUCAUGAGCUCCGUCCAAUGUCUUCAAUCAUCAUUCCUUUAAGACUCGUUGCUAACCAGAUAGCUGUCUCCCUUGGGGAAACCUUGUCUUUCCCAAAAGGUUUCAAAACUACAAGAAGCUCUUCCAAUCUGUUUUGCUACAGCAACUCAGCGGACAAUACUAGAAGCCCUUCAAGUGCUUCUGCCUUCUGCCGAAAAGACUUAUCAUCUAAAGUUUCCUUUGCUG